This 497-nucleotide ribosomal RNA is filed under the name uncultured bacterium. RNAcentral describes it as "partial 16S ribosomal RNA". It matches the Rfam family "Bacterial small subunit ribosomal RNA", at positions 28 to 507 of the family's 1533-position model. The record is from RNAcentral.
GAUGAACGCUGGCGGCGUGCCUAAUACAUGCAAGUCGAGCGAACGGACGAGAAGCUUGCUUCUCUGAUGUUAUCGGCGGACGGGUGAGUAACACGUGGAUAACCUACCUAUAAGACUGGGAUAACUUCGGGAAACCGGAGCUAAUACCGGAUAAUAUUUUGAACCGCAUGGUUCAAAAGUGAAAGACGGUCUUGCUUUCACUUAUAGAUGGAUCCGCGCUGCAUUAGCUAGUUGGUAAGGUAACGGCUUACCAAGGCAACGAUGCAUAGCCGACCUGAGAGGGUGAUCGGCCACACUGGAACUGAGACACGGUCCAGACUCCUACGGGAGGCAGCAGUAGGGAAUCUUACGCGAUGGGCGAAAGCCUGACGGAGCAACGCCGCGUGAGUGAUGAAGGUCUUCGGAUCGUAAAACUCUGUUAUUAGGGAAGAACAUAUGUGUAAGUAACUGUGCACAUCUUGACGGUACCUAAUCAGAAAGCCACGGCUAACUACGUG